This 253-nucleotide ribosomal RNA is filed under the name uncultured bacterium. Its description in RNAcentral is "partial 16S ribosomal RNA". It matches the Rfam family "Bacterial small subunit ribosomal RNA", at positions 524 to 776 of the family's 1533-position model. The record is from RNAcentral.
UACAGAGGUCUCAAGCGUUGUUCGGAUUCAUUGGGCGUAAAGGGUGCGUAGGCGGCGCGGUAAGUCGGGUGUGAAAUCUCGGGGCUUAACUCCGAAACUGCAUUCGAUACUGCCGUGCUUGAAGACUGGAGAGGAGACUGGAAUUCAUGGUGUAGCAGUGAAAUGCGUAGAGAUCAUGAGGAAGACCAGUGGCGAAGGCGGGUCUCUGGACAGUUCCUGACACUGAGACACGAAGGCCAGGGGAGCAAACGGG